CCAACAAUCUAUCUUUUUCUUAUUUUUUACUUUUAUAGCGCCUACCAUUUAUUUUCAUUAAUGUAUAUUUCUUUAUUCUUUUUUUUUUCAAUAAAUAAUGACAAAAUUGAAAUUCAAUUCAAUUCAAUAAUAAAUAAAAUAAAAUAAUUAAACUAAUUAAUACUAAUCAAAAACUAAUACUCACGCAAACAACUAUUUUGGCAUGAUUUUUAUUCACUAACUCUUAUCAACAAUAAAAAAAGUAAAAAUCAUUCAUUCUUCCAUGUUUACGAAACCAUCACCAAUCAAGUGAUCAAUCUUUCUUUCAGAGUGCUUAAAACAGUCUGCUACAUCCAAGCAUGUGAUGUCAACUUUAUUUUUAGAAAGAAAAUUAGCCUCAGGAUUUCUCUUUUUCUUCUUUAGUGAUGCUUGAUAAAGAUCAAUCAAGUGCUUGAGAGCACGACAGUCACGUGAAUAGUGUUCUUUUCCACCACAUCGAAACAAGUAAUUGCUUCACGUUUUUCAUCUUUUCUCUUUCUAUUCGAUGAAUGAUUAACACUCGAAACAAGGUUUCUUUCUUGGUCAUUACGAUCAUGACCACGACUACGACCUCGUCCAGGGCUUCGACCUUUUCCACGCCUAGCAUGGUGAGCAUGCACAUCAUUCACCUCAGGGAAUGGUCCAGAUCCAGUAGGUCGAUUCUCAUGAUUUUUCAUCAACAAAUUAUUAUUUUGUUUAGCCAUGAAAAGAUGAGAACUCAGUUCAGUAUAAUUCUUGAAACCUUUCUCUCGAUAUUGUUGCUGUAAGAGCACAUCGAGGCAUGAAAAGUGGAGAGCGCCUUUUUCAUCAUAUCGUCAUCAUUGAUCGUCUCUCCACAUAGUUUCAAUUCAGAAGAAAUUAUGAACAUGUCAGAAUUAUACUCAUGAACAAACUUAUAAUCUAGAAACCUCAAAUGCAUCCAUUCAUAUUGUACUUUUGGGGGAUGACCAUCUUUAAGUGGUCAAACUUUUCUUUUAGUCUAUUCCACAAUACGAGUGAAUCCUUAGUAAUAAGGUAUUUAAUUUUCAGAAUUUUGUCAAGAUGAUGAUGCAAGAAAAUCAUAGCCUUAGCACGAUACGAUUUUGACUAGAUGUUGUAUUUUCUUUCUUUAUGGCGCCGACUCAUAGCAUCUAAGUGGAUUUCAGCAUCCAACACCCAUGAAAUAUAGUUCUUGCCCAAACUUUGAAGAUUGUUAGCCAUAGCAUUUAGGUAACGAACUCACACUUCGUAAGAUUGUUAGCCAUAUGAAAAAAGGAAAGAAAAAUAAUAUCUUAGCCUUCAAAUUUGAGACGGUAGAGUCUCGUGCGAGAGAAAGAGAGAGUAAUUGUUAUUUAUCUUGGGGAUAACAAGAGUAAAGAGAGAAAGAGAGAGUAAUUGUUAUUUAUC
Molecule: long non-coding RNA, 1404 nt
Filed under: Capsicum annuum
Lineage: Eukaryota; Viridiplantae; Streptophyta; Magnoliopsida; Solanales; Solanaceae
Description: long non-coding RNA (CANN_LNC018463)
Source: RNAcentral